AACGGCCGCGGUAUUUUGACCGUGCAAAGGUAGCAUAAUCAUUAGUCUUUUAAUAGGGGGCUGGAAUGAAAGGUUUGACGAGACAUUAGCUGUCUCAAUUUAAUUAAUUAAAAUUUACCUUUUGAGUUAAAAGGCUUAAAUUUUGUUGGAAGACGAGAAGACCCUAUAGAGCUUUAUGGCUGUAUAUUUUAAUUGUUUUGGAUUAUAAGUUAAUAUUAGGUAUCCAGGGGUUUUGUUGGGGUGAUGAGAAAUAUAAGAAAAACUUUUUUAUUUAUAUUACAUUCAUUUAUGAUUAUUAGAUCCGUUAAUAUUGAUUAUUAGACUAAGUUACCUUAGGGAUAACAGCGUAAUCUUCUUUUGGAGUUCAAAUUUACAAGAAGGGUUGCGACCUCGAUGUUGGAUUAAGAUUAUAUUUAGGUGUAGCAGCUUAACUAAUAGGUCUGUUCGAC
RNAcentral lists this ribosomal RNA (449 nucleotides) under Lestoidea conjuncta. Its description in RNAcentral is "partial 16S ribosomal RNA". It matches the Rfam family "Bacterial large subunit ribosomal RNA", at positions 1926 to 2585 of the family's 2925-position model. The record is from RNAcentral. Lineage: Eukaryota; Metazoa; Arthropoda; Insecta; Odonata; Lestoideidae.